This 238-nucleotide ribosomal RNA is filed under the name uncultured Gardnerella sp. Its description in RNAcentral is "partial 16S ribosomal RNA". It matches the Rfam family "Bacterial small subunit ribosomal RNA", at positions 119 to 355 of the family's 1533-position model. The record is from RNAcentral. Lineage: Bacteria; Bacillati; Actinomycetota; Actinomycetes; Bifidobacteriales; Bifidobacteriaceae.
GACCAACCUCGCCCCAUGCUCCAGAAUAGCUCUUGGAAACGGGUGGUAAUGCUGGAUGCUCCAACUUGACGCAUGUCUUGUUGGGAAAGUGUUUAGUGGCAUGGGAUGGGGUCGCGUCCUAUCAGCUUGUAGGCGGGGUAAUGGCCCACCUAGGCUUCGACGGGUAGCCGGGCCUGAGAGGGCGGACGGCCACAUUGGGACUGAGAUACGGCCCAGACUCCUACGGGAGGCAGCAGCU